AUGAACGCUAGCGGCAGGCCUAAUACAUGCAAGUCGAGGGGUAAGAGUCAGCUUGCUGACUACACGACCGGCGCACGGGUGCGUAACGCGUAUGCAACCUACCUUUAACAGAGGAAUAGCCCCGAGAAAUCGGGAUUAAUACCACAUAACAUUAUGAUAUGGCAUCAUAUUAUAAUUAAAACUCCGGUGGUUAAAGAUGGGCAUGCGUGACAUUAGCUAGUUGGUGAGGUAACUGCUCACCAAGGCUACGAUGUCUAGGGGUUCUGAGAGGAUGAUCCCCCACACUGGUACUGAGACACGGACCAGACUCCUACGGGAGGCAGCAGUAAGGAAUAUUGCGCAAUGGAGGCAACUCUGACGCAGCCAUGCCGCGUGCAGGAUUGAAGGCCUUAUGGGUCGUAAACUGCUUUUAUUUAGGAAUAAACUUUCGUACGUGUACGAAACUGAAGGUACUAAACGAAUAAGCACCGGCUAACUCCGUGCCAGCAGCCGCGGUAAUACGGAGGGUGCAAGCGUUAUCCGGAUUUAUUGGGUUUAAAGGGUGCGCAGGCGGACCAAUUAGUCAGUGGUGAAAUCCCGAGGCUCAACCUCGGAACUGCCAUUGAUACUGUUGGUCUUGAAUACGGUUGAAGUAGGCGGAAUGUAGCAUGUAGCGGUGAAAUGCAUAGAGAUGCUACAGAACACCGAUCGCGAAAGGCAGCUUACUAAACCGAUAUUGACGCUCAGGCACGAAAGCGUGGGGAGCGAACAGGAUUAGAUACCCUGGUAGUCCACGCCGUAAACUAUGAUCACUCGUUGUUGGCAAUACACAGUCAGUGACCAAGCGAAAGCGAUAAGUGAUCCACCUGGGGAGUACGAUCGCAAGGUUGAAACUCAAAGGAAUUGACGGGGGCCCGCACAAGCGGUGGAGCAUGUGGUUUAAUUCGAUGAUACGCGAGGAACCUUACCUGGGCUCAAAUGUAAGUUGACAGUUUCUGAAAGGGAAUUUUCUUCGGACAAUUUACAAGGUGCUGCAUGGUUGUCGUCAGCUCGUGCCGUGAGGUGUCGGGUUAAGUCCCAUAACGAGCGCAACCCCUACUCUUAGUUGCCAUCAGAUAAUGCUGGGGACUCUAGGAGAACUGCCUACGCAAGUAGAGAGGAAGGUGGGGAUGACGUCAAAUCAGCACGGCCCUUACGUCCAGGGCUACACACGUGCUACAAUGGCCGGUACAGAGGGCAGCCACCUGGUGACAGGGAGCGAAUCUCUAAAGCCGGUCUCAGUUCGGAUCGAAGUCUGCAACCCGACUUCGUGAAGCUGGAAUCGCUAGUAAUCGCGCAUCAGCCAUGGCGCGGUGAAUACGUUCCCGGGCCUUGUACACACCGCCC
Molecule: ribosomal RNA, 1365 nt
Filed under: uncultured Bacteroidota bacterium
Lineage: Bacteria; Pseudomonadati; Bacteroidota
Description: bacterial SSU rRNA
Rfam family: Bacterial small subunit ribosomal RNA
Source: RNAcentral